Molecule: ribosomal RNA, 250 nt
Filed under: uncultured bacterium
Lineage: Bacteria
Description: partial 16S ribosomal RNA
Rfam family: Bacterial small subunit ribosomal RNA
Source: RNAcentral
AAACCAUCUUCGGAUGGCAGACAGUGGCAAACGGGUGAGUAACACGUGGGAAUGUACCUUUUGGUUCGGGACAACAGUUGGAAACGACUGCUAAUACCGGAUAAGCUCUACGGAGGAAAGAUUUAUCGCCAAAAGAUCAGCCCGCGUAAGAUUAGCUAGUUGGUAGGGUAAUGGCCUACCAAGGCAACGAUCUUUAGCUGGUUUGAGAGGAUGAUCAGCCACACUGGGACUGAGAUACGGCCCAGACUCC